UCGCUUGAUUCGGGUGGGAACAUUACAAUCAAAUGUGGUGUUAAUGGCCUGAAGAUUUUAUCAUAUUAUCCACCAUUCAUCCUGCAACCGGACUGGCAAAUACUGCUGAAUAUGUUCAGAAGCAGAAAUUGGAACAAAGGAAAACAUCA
Triticum aestivum (bread wheat) is the source of this 149-nucleotide long non-coding RNA. RefSeq lists it as uncharacterized. NCBI's taxonomy places the organism in Eukaryota, Viridiplantae, Streptophyta, Magnoliopsida, Poales, Poaceae. The transcript has 2 exons. The record is from RefSeq and is a predicted model, not a curated record.